UUUGUUUUAACUAAUCGUGUAACCUGCAUUUUUUAAAAUACACCAUUUAGUUGAGUUUGUAUUUUAAGUUGCCAGAACCAAGCAAGUGUUAGGAUUAGCAUUUCUCUUGUUCUUCUCCACUUAUAGAUAUAUUUAAUGAAAUAAACUCUUUGACAUAGGUUAAUCACAUAAUUUCCUUCAUCAUCAUUUUUGAACAAUUAAAGAGGAGAAGAUUAGAAAAGAAAUACAAAUAACUGGCAACUUUUCUUUUACCAAUGGAUGAUCUGAUCUCAAAUAAUG
This 279-nucleotide unclassified non-coding RNA is filed under the name Hevea brasiliensis (rubber tree). The record is from RNAcentral. Lineage: Eukaryota; Viridiplantae; Streptophyta; Magnoliopsida; Malpighiales; Euphorbiaceae.